AUUGAACGCUGGCGGCAUGCCUUACACAUGCAAGUCGAACGGCAGCGGACCUUCGGGUGCCGGCGAGUGGCGAACGGGUGAGUAAUAUAUCGGAACGUACCUUUCAGUGGGGGAUAACGUAGCGAAAGUUACGCUAAUACCGCAUAUUCUGUGAGCAGGAAAGCAGGGGAUCGCAAGACCUUGCGCUGAUUGAGCGGCCGAUAUCAGAUUAGCUAGUUGGUGAGGUAAAGGCUCACCAAGGCGACGAUCUGUAGCGGGUCUGAGAGGAUGAUCCGCCACACUGGAACUGAGACACGGUCCAGACUCCUACGGGAGGCAGCAGUGGGGAAUAUUGGUCAAUGGGCGGAAGCCUGAACCAGCCAUCCCGCGUGCAGGAUGAAGGCCCUAUGGGUUGUAAACUGCUUUAGACUGAGAAGAAACCCCUCAAUGCGUUGGGGGCUGACGGUAUCAGUAGAAUAAGCACCGGCUAACUCCGUGCC
This 479-nucleotide ribosomal RNA is filed under the name uncultured bacterium. Its description in RNAcentral is "bacterial SSU rRNA". It matches the Rfam family "Bacterial small subunit ribosomal RNA", at positions 30 to 509 of the family's 1533-position model. The record is from RNAcentral.